RNAcentral lists this ribosomal RNA (466 nucleotides) under Diaporthe heveae. RNAcentral describes it as "partial large subunit ribosomal RNA". It matches the Rfam family "Eukaryotic large subunit ribosomal RNA", at positions 114 to 592 of the family's 3401-position model. The record is from RNAcentral. Lineage: Eukaryota; Fungi; Ascomycota; Sordariomycetes; Diaporthales; Diaporthaceae.
UUUGAAAUCUGGCUUCGGCCCGAGUUGUAAUUUGCAGAGGAUGCUUCUGGCGCGGUGCCUUCCGAGUUCCCUGGAACGGGACGCCACAGAGGGUGAGAGCCCCGUAUGGUCGGACACCAAGCCUGUGUGAAGCUCCUUCGACGAGUCGAGUAGUUUGGGAAUGCUGCUCUAAAUGGGAGGUAAAUCUCUUCUAAAGCUAAAUACCGGCCAGAGACCGAUAGCGCACAAGUAGAGUGAUCGAAAGAUGAAAAGCACCUUGAAAAGGGGGUUAAAUAGUACGUGAAAUUGUUGAAAGGGAAGCACUUAUGACCAGACUUGGGCCGGGCGGCUCAUCAGGGGUUCUCCCCUGUGCAUUCCGCCCGGCACAGGCCAGCAUCGGUUCUCGUGGGGGGAUAAGACCAUCAGGAACGUAGCACCCUCCGGGGUGUGUUAUAGCCUGGCGGACGAUACCCUCGUGGGGACCGAG